UUUAUUGUAAUAAGGGUCACGCGUGUGGUUGAAUGCGUUUAUUUUUGCAAGUGUGAGUAAUAUAAAUGGCGGUGCAUUGUAGCAACGCGGUUUUCAUUCGGACGCGUUCGUGCUGAACAGUUACGUUGUUUUUAAAUAAACAUAUUUUAUUUAACAUCAAGAUGCCUUGCGGAGGUUGUGGAGAUAGCUGCAAAUGCACACCAACGCAGUGUUGCACGAACUGCAAGUGUGAUGCAUCGUGCUCAUGCACAUGCAAACGCUCUGGGGACGCCACCGCCACCAAGAAGUGAUGGCCACAUAACAACCAUAUCAUAUAUAUCAUAUCAUUAAUAUAUAUCGUGUCAUAAAUAUAUGUUCAAUGAUAUCUAAUUACUUUUUUCUUUUAAUGAACGCAGAUCGGAAAUGUGACUUAAUAAAAAGCUUAUGUAUUUA
Long non-coding RNA from Danaus plexippus (monarch butterfly), 432 nucleotides. RefSeq lists it as uncharacterized. Lineage: Eukaryota; Metazoa; Arthropoda; Insecta; Lepidoptera; Nymphalidae. The record is from RefSeq and is a predicted model, not a curated record. The transcript has 2 exons.